GGCUGUAGCUCGGUGGUAGAGCAUCUGCUUUGCAUGCAGAAGGUCCCAAGUUCCAUCCCAUGCAUCUCCUUGAGAGCCG
Molecule: non-coding RNA, 79 nt
Organism: Podarcis lilfordi (Lilford's wall lizard)
Lineage: Eukaryota; Metazoa; Chordata; Lepidosauria; Squamata; Lacertidae
Source: the annotation of a GenBank genome assembly